Molecule: ribosomal RNA, 294 nt
Filed under: uncultured microorganism
Description: partial 16S ribosomal RNA
Rfam family: Bacterial small subunit ribosomal RNA
Source: RNAcentral
GUGCCAGCAGCCGCGGUAAUACGUAGGGUGCAAGCGUUGUCCGGAAUUAUUGGGCGUAAAGAGCUCGUAGGCGGUUUGUCGCGUCUGCUGUGAAAACCCGAGGCUCAACCUCGGGCUUGCAGUGGGUACGGGCACAGGCUAGAGUGCGGUAGGGGAGAUUGGAAUUCCUGGUGUAGCGGUGGAAUGCGCAGAUAUCAGGAGGAACACCGAUGGCGAAGGCAGAUCUCUGGGCCGUAACUGACGCUGAGGAGCGAAAGCGUGGGGAGCGAACAGGAUUAGAUACCCUGGUAGUCC